AGAGUUUGAUCCUGGCUCAGAUUGAACGCUGCGGCAUGCUUUACACAUGCAAGUCGAACGGCAGCACGGGCUUCGGUCUGGUGGCGAGUGGCGAACGGGUGAGUAAUAUAUCGGAACGUACCCAAGAGUGGGGGAUAACGUAGCGAAAGUUACGCUAAUACCGCAUACGAUCUAAGGAUGAAAGCAGGGGACCGCAAGGCCUUGUGCUCCUGGAGCGGCCGAUAUCUGAUUAGCUAGUUGGUGAGGUAAAGGCUCACCAAGGCGACGAUCAGUAGCUGGUCUGAGAGGACGACCAGCCACACUGGAACUGAGACACGGUCCAGACUCCUACGGGAGGCAGCAGUGGGGAAUUUUGGACAAUGGGCGCAAGCCUGAUCCAGCAAUGCCGCGUGAGUGAAGAAGGCCUUCGGGUUGUAAAGCUCUUUUGUCAGGGAAGAAACGGCAGUGGCUAAUAUCCAUUGCUAAUGACGGUACCUGAAGAAUAAGCACCGGCUAACUACGUGCCAGCAGCCGCGGUAAUACGUAGGGUGCAAGCGUUAAUCGGAAUUACUGGGCGUAAAGCGUGCGCAGGCGGUUUUGUAAGUCUGUCGUGAAAGCCCCGGGCUCAACCUGGGAAUUGCGAUGGAGACUGCAAGGCUUGAAUCUGGCAGAGGGGGGUAGAAUUCCACGUGUAGCAGUGAAAUGCGUAGAGAUGUGGAGGAACACCGAUGGCGAAGGCAGCCCCCUGGGUCAAGAUUGACGCUCAUGCACGAAAGCGUGGGGAGCAAACAGGAUUAGAUACCCUGGUAGUCCACGCCCUAAACGAUGUCUACUAGUUGUCGGGUUUUAAUUAACUUGGUAACGCAGCUAACGCGUGAAGUAGACCGCCUGGGGAGUACGGUCGCACGUUUAGAACUUAAAGGAAUUGACGG
Molecule: ribosomal RNA, 911 nt
Filed under: uncultured bacterium
Lineage: Bacteria
Description: bacterial SSU rRNA
Rfam family: Bacterial small subunit ribosomal RNA
Source: RNAcentral